RNAcentral lists this ribosomal RNA (433 nucleotides) under uncultured bacterium. RNAcentral describes it as "partial 16S ribosomal RNA". It matches the Rfam family "Bacterial small subunit ribosomal RNA", at positions 29 to 507 of the family's 1533-position model. The record is from RNAcentral.
AGCGAACGCUGGCGGCAGGCUUAACACAUGCAAGUCGAGCGGACCCUUCGGGGUCAGCGGCGGACGGGUGAGUAACGCGUGGGAACGUGCCUUCCGGUUCGGAAUAACCCUGGGAAACUAGGGCUAAUACCGGAUACGCCCUUAUGGGGAAAGGUUUACUGCCGGAAGAUCGGCCCGCGUCUGAUUAGCUAGGUGGUGGGGUAACGGCCUACCAAGGCGACGAUCAGUAGAUGGUCUGAGAGGAAGAUCAGCCACACUGGGACUGAGAAACGGCGCAGACUACUGCGGGAUGGAGGAGUGGGGGAUAUUGGAAUAUGGGGGGAAGCAUGAUCCCGCCAUGCCGGGUGAGUGAUGAAAGCCUUAGGGUUGUAAAGCACUUUUAUCCGGGACGAUAAUGACGGUACCGGAAGAAUAAGCCCCGGCUAACUUCGUG